Molecule: unclassified non-coding RNA, 242 nt
Filed under: air metagenome
Description: partial contains small subunit ribosomal RNA, internal transcribed spacer 1, and 5.8S ribosomal RNA
Rfam family: Eukaryotic small subunit ribosomal RNA (bases 1-46)
Source: RNAcentral
AAGUCGUAACAAGGUUUCCGUAGGUGAACCUGCGGAAGGAUCAUUACGCUGUAUUGUCAGGCCCUAGACUCUCGAACGCAAGCUCGAUUGUCUAUCCUGUCUACUUACAACCAUGUUUUUGUGCACCAUCUGUUUCCUCGGCGGGCUCGCCCGCCAGUAGGACAUUUUAAACCCUAUUGUAAGCAGUCAGCGUCAUAAAACAAAAAAGACCACAACUUUCAACAACGGAUCUCUUGGUUCUG